Psammomys obesus (fat sand rat) is the source of this 2094-nucleotide long non-coding RNA. RefSeq lists it as uncharacterized. The transcript is spliced from 2 exons. Lineage: Eukaryota; Metazoa; Chordata; Mammalia; Rodentia; Muridae. The record is from RefSeq and is a predicted model, not a curated record.
UCCUGCUUUAAUUGACACAAACGAUACCAUUUGGAGGUUCGGAGUUCCUGCAGGAGAAGGCCUGUGGUCCUCCGAGCCCCGGGGCCUGUUUGUUGGAGGAGAGGGAGCCUGGAUGCUCUGCAGGCCCCCUUCAGACCGCGGUAAUAGGCGGAGGCUGGUGGGUCGCUGCGCAAAGCCGGUCCUCCGCGCUGAGACUCCGCAGAAAUCCCGCUGGAGCUCUUUCUGCUCUCGCCCUGUCUACUUCCCUUCAUAAUGAUGAAUGGCUGAAAAGAGAACUAUCUAAUCUCCAAAACUGCUGGCUUUUUUCUGCCCCCUCCCCUUCUCUUUCUUCAAGGAGGGGAGGAAGAACAUGGCCACAUAAAACAGAGUCCUUCAUCGCCCGCUCCUCUGGAGACGCGCGCUCCCUUUUCAUCCCGGGGCCUGUUUCUGAUCUGCGAUGGGCUCUCCUUGAAGGCUCGGGCCGGCCCUCCCUAAUCGGCCGCGACAGACGCUGCGAGCUGCGCGGGCUGCCCGCUGAAAUUGAAUUGAUUGCCCGGCCCCUCUGCCAUUUUGUUCUGCGCGCGAUUGCUUAAUGGCUGUCACCUUGGCUUUCAGUCCCAGCCGGCUUUGGGGCUGGCUGGCUGGUUCCCAUUACUCGGGAUGGCCAGUGCAAGUUCACCACCCUUUACAGGAUGUCCCUGAUUGAUUCCGUAUGCCUUGGAGACCUGACCUUCUGUGGCUUGAGGCCGAUCCUCCGGGCUGAGGCCUCCAGCCCUUGGCUGGAGAGGAACCCUGGGGACCACAGAGCUGAGCAGUAACCGGCCCUUUUUCCUCCUCAAGCAGGGCACAGCAGAAGCAGCCACUGUCAUAUGGCAGGCUUCUGGGCCGGUGAUGUAUGACCCGCUGGCUCUACUGAAUGGUGCCCUUUGUUCCACAGGAUCCCAUGUGCCCCCUUUUUAUUGAGUUGUUGAUUCAGAGGGGCAGGGAAAGUUCCACAAAUCCCACUGCAGCCCCGGCUCUUGCCAUGCCCAGGUGGGGCAGCCAGGGAAACUCACCUUUCCCAGGAAGCCAGGAGGACUCUGUGAGCUGUCUCAAAGCCGAAUACCACUUUGGGAGCAACUCUCAUGCUGAGCCAAGCAGGUACUUGGAGAGAACCCAGGUACACCUAACCCUCCGAAUUCCAGGUGAGGAGGAACUGGACAAGGUUACCAUCACCGGCAGGGUGCCUGUGAGCCAAGGGCCAUCUUCCCUAUCUCCAAGCUAAGUCAGAGUUUUCUCUGUGACUAAGCCCCUGGCAGGCACCAAUGGUAAGAGAGCAGUAGGAAGCUGCCCAGCCAGAGGCCCUGUAGAGCCAAAGGGAAGGGCCAGGGCAAGAGGCUUGAAAUGAAACCCCACUGUUGCCUCUUUUGUCCUGGGUUUCAAGACCAUCUUAGGUGGAGACCAUGGGGGAUGGACCAGCCGUGAGGGUGAGUUGUGCCGGGGACUAGUCCACUCUGGCGGCACCUUCCUGUAACCGCUUUUCUUCAUCACGCCCAAGCUGGAUUUCAUCUCUCCCAGUCCCUCCACCUGGAAGCCAGGGUCUCACUUCAGACCCACUGGAGUAAAGGUGGCUGACAGACUCACACAGCCGCUCCUGGAAGCCACUCUUCUGAAGCAACUGCACAAAUGCCACCAAGGAUUCUCUACUUAGGAGACUAUCUUCUCCGAAUUGUAGGGUUGAUGCUAAAAAAGAUGAGAUCUUUGCUGCUGCCUGCCCGCCCAACCAACCCUUCUGGGGUCUUUGUGAGCCCUGGAAACUAGCCCCAUAACCCAGGGAGUAACAUGAGAUUGAAGGGACUUUUGAACUCAGGUCACUCUGAGGGCCCAUGGCACAAAUGCUUAAAGGGGCACUAAGGGCCCCACCAGGCACCUGAAGGAAGGAAAAAAGGCAUAAAAGGAAAGACACUGUCGCCGAGCAAGGCAAGGCGCUAACAAAUGACAAACACGCGCUUCACAGUUGUAAGAUGGCUUUAUGUUCCAAUAUGUAAAAGAAAACGUCCAUGCUAUAUACCAAAAACACUUGGAAUUUCAUACCACCUGUCAGCUAAUGUGUUUUCUAAUAAAGCUUUAUCUGCA